AGCGCGGCCGGGAGCCGGAGCCGGCCCCAGCGAAUGGCGACUGCAGCCGCCCCCUGUCGCUCUCCGGACAGUCCUACUGGCUCGACGUGUGGCUCUUCGUCCUCUUCGACCUGGCGCUGCUCGUCCUCGUCUAUCUGCUGCCCUGAGCCCGCGUGACAGCUCCUAGUCAAGAUGAGGAACCUUAUUUAUGAAAACAUACUUCGGAAGAAUAUACAUGCAACAGGACAACUGGAAAUGAGACGCUGAAACCUGUUAAGCCACUGAGUGCUAGUGAUACACAUCGAUCCAUUCAUGGAUGUACUGAUUUGAGGGGGUCUGGUUCAUCUAUAGCCUAUUUACUUCAGUGACAAUGUAAAUUGUGCCUUAAGUUAAAUUAUUUCAAAAGUUUGAGGAUAUUCUCGUUUCCAUAGCAGUAAUAUGGAUUGCUCAUUUGUCUUAAUGUUUAGUGUUUGAAUAAAGAUCAAUUGAAAAAAUGGAAUUUCAGACUGGCUGGAUAGCCCCCUCUGUAGAAGAGAUGGGUUUAGGUAGGAAGAUGUUGCCUGGUUUCUCCUCAGGUAACUUUAUUGGUUAUGACAUCCUUUUCUGACCUGGCGAGAUCAACUCCCUCUUUCAAACACUUCCAUGCAGCUCUAUCCCUCUGAGGCUUUUUAUAGGAGUUCUGUCUAGAGACGAGGAGUAGCCCUAAUAGUAAGUUUUUACUGGUGUCCUCUUAAAUUACCCAGCAUGACCCUGCUUACUAUGCUGGUUGCUUACUACCACUAUCCUUCCCUACUGGAAUAACCUGUAGUGCUGUGGAUACAUGGGGCCACAUUUUGAAAGGCAUCCUCCUCUGUGCUAACCACUACUAUUUUAUCUCCUCUAAAAUAUCAAGCAGGUUUUGACAUAAAAAUCCCCUUGUAACUAAGUAAGGCACAUAAAAAGGCAAGCCUGGCUGCUGAAAGCUUGCCUACAUUUAAAGGGCUGCACUGGUGAAGAUGUGACCUACACCACUGGGAGGGCUUUUCCUGUUGGCACAGGUACUCCACCUUCCUGAGGCAGUACCCAUGUUGAUGGGAGAAGGUGGACAUUGACAUAGGGUAAUUAGGUCAGUAUAACUACGUUGCUCAGGGGUGUUAAUUUAUACUAACCACCCAGCUACAUUCCCAGAGCCUCAGUGGUUUGUUAGUGCCACCCCAAGCAUAGCACACAAACGACAGGGGAGGAGCAAACAUACCUGUUUGUCCCCAGUAGGGAGCAUGCUCCUGCCACCUUCACUGAAAUAUCCCACCCCCUAAAUGAACAUGGAAUGCAGCACUUUCCACCAAAUGCAUGUGACACCUUUGAUCUAGCUGAAGUAAGUAGGUGAAGUGUUGCAGGAUCACAGUGGUCCUUUAACAACUGAGUUUUAAAAGACGGCAUGGGGCCUGAAGGGGAGCCAUAGGAGGAGUGGAGAAAACAGACACAAGGCUCAAGAGACCUAGGACUGCCAGAGUCCCCUGAGUGUGAGGGGAAACAGUGGGAAGUUUAGCUCACAUAGUUGAACUAUUUUUGACUAAUAAAGUUGCAUGAAAAAGAGUCCGAGGGCAUAGCCCAGGGUGCAAAAACUAGGCUCCACUAUAGAAAAAUCACAAGUGCAGCUCUGAGAUAGCUAAUUCAGUCAUUGGUCACUAAACCUUUUUAAAAAAUCUCCCACUUAUAGAUAAGCAAAGUUGAAGUAUUUGACUAUGCAUUAGGCAAUUCCAUUAGUGUCACCAGCAGCUAUCAUGCAUUGAGGGAAGCUGUAUAGAUAGAUGUCAACCACAGCACAUCUUCAUGAAUUAAAAUUUUACACAAAUAUGCUUCCUGCUAGUGUAAGCUGUAACAGUGAACAGACAUGGUUUAAACCAUCUUACACUUGAACCCCCUACAGUGAAACCCUGCUAUAACACAAUUAGGGCCCAAAAAAUUCAAUUAUGAUAAAUGCACAUUAUAGCAGGAUUACAAAAAUUUACCAUUUCAAGCCAGUCAAUUUCUCUUGGGCAGAAAAUGACUUGCAUUUGCAAACUGCCCCUAACAGUAACUGAAAGGGUGUAGCAAUAAUUAGUGACAGCAUAAGCUAAUCAACCUAUUAAAUGAGGCAGAACCAGCCUGAAUUUUGGGACUGGCAGACGGGGCUGGAGCAGCUCUUCAGAGAUCUGUACAAAGGCACUCAGCCAACUCUCCUCCAUCUGGAGAGCCAAUUGCAGCAUUUGACACUGAGUUGCUACUGAUAUUCAGAGUUCAUGCCACUGUUUUUGUAGCAUCCCUCCCAGCUGUCAGCCUGCUCCAGCAGCAGGGGUGACUUGCAAGGGGCAGAGGAAGAGCAAGGAGCUGCUGGGGAGAACAGCUGUUUUCACCAGAAGGGGAAGCAGGGCCAGGGGAAGGCACUUUUUUUUUUUGCACUUCAGCAGCACUCAGCCACCUUUUUUUCCUUUUGCACACUUGGGGUGGCAGGAGCUACCUUAUGAUUGUGUUAUAUCUGAAUUCACAUUAUCACAGGGCAUGUUAUAGCAGGGUUUCACUGUAGUAUGUUAAUAGUCAUCUUAAAAUCCACAUUUAAAAAAAUUGGCCAAGAGCAAGUUCAGAAUUCUGUCUGGAGAAAAACAAGGUGGUACAUGGUGAGAUCCUGAAUGCAACUAGCAGAAGACAAACUUCAAUUUUUUGCACAUACAGCAGAACUGAUGAUUCAAACACAAGACAGAAUUAACUUUGCAGAGAAUAAAUACUGAAGUUUCCUACAUCUAAGCUUUUUUUUCCCCGUUAAACACGAGGUAUUUCUGCCUAAUAUGUUUUAUUUGAACAGUGAUGCUCACAGCUUCACUUAGAUAGCUGAGAACUACUCUCAAGCACCACGAAUCUUCCUUCUGUUCUUAGAUGACCAACCUAAUUUGCAAAGAGUUAGUUGGUGUUCCAGCAUUUUGUUUCACCACUUCUAAACCACCUGUGUAAAAUAAUACAGAGAAUAGAGGUAGCAGCCACAAAAGUAGUUAGUUUUUAUCUAAUAGUCUGAACAUGCAGAAAAAUGCAAUUUUGCAUGAAAAUAAAAUUUGAAAGACUGAAAAAUAUAUUACAAUACCUGUUAAAUGCAUUAAAACAUUACAAAAUGUCUAUGUUCUUAUACAAAUCUAUAACCAGGACAUUUAUAAAAAAUAAAUAGGCACUCUAGCUAAUCAAUGUCAGAUCGCACAUUAGUUAACAAAUUAAAUAAACAUAGGGCAUGUAGAGUAAAUAUAAAAACUGAAGGUGUCAAUUAUAUAAUAGUGUACAUAUAACUUAUCUGGUAAACAGGUCAUAUACAAAAGGUUUUGCCUGGAAAGAGAGCUUCAAGGAAAGAUCAAUGUUCAUCUGACUUCAAUGAAGAUUGUUGCAUUUCAGAACCCCAGAAGAAUCUAAGCAACUAUUCUUGAAUAAACUCACCAAUUAUGCUCACUAGCUUUCUGGAAACCGCAUUCACAUUGUUUCUUUGUAUAGAAGUAUGAAUGUUUGCUAUGAACCUUUAAGAACAUUUUAAGUUUGCUCUUCUAUAGUAUUCAGUGUUGUUGCUGUGCUGUUUAUACAUUAAAAUACUGCAAUUCCAAAUACAAGAUUUCUGGAAAAGCU
Molecule: long non-coding RNA, 3597 nt
Organism: Mauremys mutica (yellowpond turtle)
Lineage: Eukaryota; Metazoa; Chordata; Testudines; Geoemydidae
Exons: 2
Source: RefSeq, a predicted model, not a curated record